AACGAACGCUGGCGGCGCGCCUAAUACAUGCAAGUCGAGCGAGAAGACGUAGCAAUACGUUUGUAAAGCGGCGAACGGGUGAGGAAUACAUGGGUAACCUACCCUCGAGUGGGGAAUAACUAGCCGAAAGGUUAGCUAAUACCGCGUACGCUCCUUGGACUUCGGUUCAGGGAGGAAAGCGAUACCGUGGGUAUCGCGCUCUUGGAUGGGCUCAUGUCCUAUCAGCUUGUUGGGAGGUAACGGCUCACCAAGGCUUCGACGGGUAGCUGGUCUGAGAGGACGAUCAGCCACACUGGCACUGCGACACGGGCCAGACUCCUACGGGAGGCAGCAGUAAGGAAUAUUGCGCAAUGGGCGAAAGCCUGACGCAGCGACGCCGCGUGGGGGAGUGAAGGUCUUCGGAUUGUAAACCCCCUUUACCGGGUAGGGGAAGAUGGAAGUGGGGUAACCCGACUUCGGACGGUACCUCCAGAAGCAGCCACGGCUAACUUCGUGCCAGCAGCCGCCGCGGUAAC
RNAcentral lists this ribosomal RNA (515 nucleotides) under uncultured bacterium. Its description in RNAcentral is "bacterial SSU rRNA". It matches the Rfam family "Bacterial small subunit ribosomal RNA", at positions 29 to 524 of the family's 1533-position model. The record is from RNAcentral.